RNAcentral lists this ribosomal RNA (253 nucleotides) under uncultured bacterium. Its description in RNAcentral is "partial 16S ribosomal RNA". It matches the Rfam family "Bacterial small subunit ribosomal RNA", at positions 524 to 776 of the family's 1533-position model. The record is from RNAcentral.
UACGAGGGGGGCAAGCGUUGUUCGGAAUUAUUGGGCGUAAAGGGCGCGUAGGCGGUGCGGUAAGUCACCUGUGAAAACUCUGGGCUCAACUCAGAGCCUGCAGGCGAAACUGCCGUGCUUGAGUGUGGGAGAGGUGCGUGGAAUUCCCGGUGUGGCGGUGAAAUGCGUAGGUAUCGGGAGGAACACCUGUGGCGAAAGCGGCGCACUGGACCACAACUGACGCUGAGGCGCGAAAGCUAGGGGAGCAAACAGG